GAUGAACGCUGGCGGCGUGCCUAAUACAUGCAAGUCGAGCGAACGGACGAGAAGCUUGCUUUUCUGAUGUUAGCGGCGGACGGGUGAGUAACACGUGGAUAACCUACCUAUAAGACUGGGAUAACUUCGGGAAACCGGAGCUAAUACCGGAUAAUAUUUUGAACCGCAUGGUUCAAAAGUGAAAGACGGUCUUGCUGUCACUUAUAGAUGGAUCCGCGCUGCAUUAGCUAGUUGGUAAGGUAACGGCUUACCAAGGCAACGAUGCAUAGCCGACCUGAGAGGGUGAUCGGCCACACUGGAGCUGAGACACGGUCCAGACUCCUACGGGAGGCAGCAGUAGGGAAUCUUCCGCAAUGGGCGAAAGCCUGACGGAGCAACGCCGCGUGAGUGAUGAAGGUCUUCGGGUCGUAAAACUCUGUUAUUAGGGAAGAACAUAUGUGUAAGUAACUGUGCACAUCUUGACGGUACCUAAUCAGAAAGCCACGGCUAACUACGUG
Molecule: ribosomal RNA, 497 nt
Filed under: uncultured bacterium
Lineage: Bacteria
Description: partial 16S ribosomal RNA
Rfam family: Bacterial small subunit ribosomal RNA
Source: RNAcentral